RNAcentral lists this ribosomal RNA (481 nucleotides) under uncultured bacterium. RNAcentral describes it as "partial 16S ribosomal RNA". It matches the Rfam family "Bacterial small subunit ribosomal RNA", at positions 28 to 507 of the family's 1533-position model. The record is from RNAcentral.
GAUGAACGCUGGCGGCGUGCCUAACACAUGCAAGUCGAGCGAAGCGCGUAAAUUAGAUUUCUUCGGAAUGACGAUUUUUGUGACUGAGCGGCGGACGGGUGAGUAACGCGUGGGUAACCUGCCUCAUACAGGGGGAUAACAGCUAGAAAUGACUGCUAAUACCGCAUAAGACCCCAGCUUCGCAUGAAGCGGUGGUAAAAACUCCGGUGGUAUGAGAUGGACCCGCGUCUGAUUAGCUAGUUGGUAAGGUAACGGCUUACCAAGGCGACGAUCAGUAGCCGACAUGGGAGAGAGACCGACGACAUUGGGACUGAGACACGGCCCCGACUCCUACGGGAGGCAGCAGUGGGGAAUAUUGCACAAGGGGGGAAACCCUGAUGCAGCGACGCCGCGUGAAGGAUGCAGUAUUUCGGUAUGUAAACUCCUAUCAGCAGGGAAGAAAGUGACGGUACCUGACUAAGAAGCCCCGGCUAACUACGUG